UAAGCAUCUCAUUAACUGACAGAAUUCUUUACAAAGCAACCUCUGUUUUGGGAGAACUUGUACUAGGUUUAUUUAUAAUUGUCCUAUUUCUAAGCACCAAAUUUAUUUUCACUGCUGCUUUUGUUAUAGGGAAAUAUUCACCCUCCAAAGACUGGUUUUUUCGGACUUUAUUUUCUAGAAGACCACAAAGUUUCGGAAUCUCAACAAUUACCACAAUUGCCACCACUUCUGCUGCAUUCAAAGGAGUGAAAAUGAAAGCUGCGUGAGUGUGUGCUCAGUCGUGUCUGACUCUGUGGCCCUGUGGACUGUAGCCCACCAGGUUCCUCUGCCCAUGGAGUUUUCCAGGCAAGAACAUUGGAAAGGUACCAAUGGAAGAUGUUCAGACAAAAAACAAGAUCCCUAACAUGAAUGUCCUUCAAUGGUUUGUUGACUCAACUGUCAAGGAGCUGCAGCUGUCAGUCAUGGCCUGGGGAAUAAUGAUCAAUUUGACACAUGCACAGCAAUGACAAUCUUGUCAGGACCACCUCUGGCCAGCAGUCAUUGUAAGGUAUUACCAUGGCAAAAUACAUUCUGAUUUCAGAGAUGUCGAACUAUAAAAAGAAAGUGCAACAUAGAAUCAACAAAAUACAUCAUCUUAACAAGAAAUCUGACAAUAUGAUAGCUCUAGGGCAGGUUAAUUGAAUGGCUCAAUAAUGCCAUAAGGAACCCAAGUUCUUUUCACCUUUCUACCCAUCCACCCUCAGCCAAAUAUCUUGUGCUCAAUUUAUUGCCUUCGUGGACCCAGAUAAUGCUAGAGUUUUAGGAGUCAUGGAAACCUCAAAUCUAGAGGAGGAAGAAGGUUGUUUGCUCCGAAGUGUCUCUGUUUAUCAGUAAGCAAAACAAUCCUUUUGAAAAACAGUCCAGUCACACAGAAAGAAGGAGAUGGAUGAAUGCCAUUUUUUCAGCUCUAUCCCAUUGUAACUUCGCAGGAGUCAGGGCCUAAUGUUACAGAUUUUCUAAUUUAUCAACCAAUAUCAGAAAUCUAGAUGUUUCUGUGGAAUACUCUGGUUUUUAAAAUGUAUCUCCAACCCAUCUGUUUCAGUACCAUACCACUUAGCCCAUAUAUAGCAUGGAAGCUAACUGAAUUUCAGUCUGAUGGUGCUCUACAGAAACCUGGGUUUGUGAGAAAAAAUUGAACUACAACUCAUGCAGCAAUUCUGGAAAGGUAUCCUGCAUCUAUUAAUAACUAAUGCAUCUGGGGACCACGUACUGCCAGCAGAAAUGACAUAAAUGAGACAUAGGUGGCCUCUGCAUAGGAGAAACUCAGGGGCAAAUCUCAACCUUUACCAAUAGGCAGGUUGUUCUGAAGUGGUUCCCCUAAUAAAAGUCCUUUUAGGCUUCCCUUAGGAGUUCUAACUUGGCAAAGAGUCUGUGAUGGCACCACAAAAAACUCUAGGCAUCAUUCUAGCAGGUGAUUCAGACCCCAAGCCUGCCUUCAACUUGGUGAUCACUCUCACAUCCAUGCACUUCAAUCACAUGGCACGUGGCCAGCCUUUUCCCCAGCAUUGCUCCUCCCUUGGCCUCUGUCCUAGACCCCAUCCUCAUCUACUUGUCACUCCCUGGACCCAAUCUCUUUCACUUGGACUUUCACUUGCUUCUAAUUAAUUUGGGCCAACAGCUGUAAGCUCAGCCUCCCAUUUCCUUUAACCAUUCUAUCAUUCUAACUCUUUCUAUAGUACUCAAGUUAGAUGUCUAUCUGUCCAUCCCCUCCAGAUGUUAAUCACCCAUGGCUCCAUAAUCUCUGUCACAUCUGGGAAAAACCUGAUAACUUUCACAUGAAAAAAUGAGCAGCUGUGGGUUUAUGGCCUACAUAGCUAGCGUUCUCAGAAGUGUGAGUAGCAGAAAGAAAAAUAUUCUUUCUCAAGUGUGAUUUAUUUCCUUUCCCUUUCUUUCUUCCUUCUUCUCAUCUUCCUUAACUUUAUUUCCUCCUUCAUAUCCUUCUUCUAAGGAAUUUUUAAAGUAUACAAGAGGGGCUUCCCUGGUGAUACAGUGGACAAGAAUCUGCUUGCCAAUUCAGGGGACAUGGGUUCAAUUCCUGGUCUGGGAAGAUUCCAUAUGCCAUGGAGCAACUAAGCCUGGGAGCUGCAACUACUGAGCCUGAGUGCUAUAGCUACUGGAGCCCCAGCACCGAGAGCCUUGCUCCAUGGCGAGAGAAGUCGCCACAAGAAGAAGGCCGCACACCGCGACUUAGAGCAAGCCCUGCUCGCCACAACAAGAGAAAGCCCACACAGCAAUGAAGACCCAGUGAAGCCAAAAAUAAAUAAACUUUUUUAAAAAACACAAAAUUAAGUAUACAAG
This is a long non-coding RNA of Cervus elaphus (red deer), 2337 nucleotides long. RefSeq lists it as uncharacterized. The transcript is spliced from 3 exons. The record is from RefSeq and is a predicted model, not a curated record. NCBI's taxonomy places the organism in Eukaryota, Metazoa, Chordata, Mammalia, Artiodactyla, Cervidae.